Macaca mulatta (Rhesus monkey) is the source of this 1028-nucleotide long non-coding RNA. RefSeq lists it as uncharacterized. Lineage: Eukaryota; Metazoa; Chordata; Mammalia; Primates; Cercopithecidae. The record is from RefSeq and is a predicted model, not a curated record.
UUGCUAGGCUCCAGUCCGCGCAGGAGUCAAGGGCGACAAGCAUGAGCUUGUGGCUGCGCAAACUAGCCCAGCAGCCAGGCCUCCCCGAGAGGCACACGCCCGCAUGGGCGCAGCUCACGGUGACAGAAUGAGGCUGAGUCAGUCACACGUGGGCUGUAGGACAGGCAGAGCCAAGCUGACGGGGAACACGUUCCAGAAGAGGGGCCGGGGGAGAGGCUGCCCAGGGGUCCUAGCACCUCCUCAGUGGCCCACAGAACACUGUGGCUGAGUUCAGUGUGCAUUCUCCUGGAGAGUGGAGACACAAGUUUUCACGAGUCCGUCAAAGGGUCUGGGACCUGCUACUCUGAAUGUUAAGAAGGGUCCCCCGCCAUCUUAAGGCCAUUGUUGAGGGCAGCUAGAAGCACCAGAUCUGGAAGAACACAGAGCAAGAAGACCCGUGCUCUACCCUUCAGCUAAGCUCAGAGAGACGUGACAAGGCGGCUGGGAGAAGACGGAGAUCAGUAAGAAUCCAGAGACGAAGGAACCCAAGGUCUGUGCAAGGACCCGCAGGGAGACAAUACGGAAGUAUAAGAAGAAGAGAGGCCGGGCGCGGUGGCUCAAGUCUGUAAUCCCAGCACUUUGGGAGGCCGAGACGGGCGGAUCACGAGGUCAGGAGAUCGAAAUCAUCCUGGCUAACACGGUGAAACCCCGUCUCUACUAAAAAAUACGAAAAACUAGCCGGGAGAGGUGGCGGGUGCCUGUAGUCCCAGCUACUCGGGAGGCUGAGGCAGGAGAAUGGCGUAAACCCGGGAGGCGGACCUUGCAGUGAGCCGAGAUCGCGCCACUGCACUCCAGGCUGGGUGACAGAGUGAGACUCCGUCUCAAAAAAAAGAAAAAAAAAGAAGAGAAGUAGGCUCAUGCAGGCCCACGUAAAUGGGAGGAAGGUGGAAGUUUCCGGACCGGAAGUCUAGGUGGGAGGCGCCAUGUUGCGGCCCAGUCGCUGCUGCUGACUCCACCAUCCCGCAGUUCGUUAAAUUAAAUAACUGCAA